RNAcentral lists this long non-coding RNA (1514 nucleotides) under Physcomitrium patens. Its description in RNAcentral is "long non-coding RNA (PPAT_LNC007589)". The record is from RNAcentral. Lineage: Eukaryota; Viridiplantae; Streptophyta; Bryopsida; Funariales; Funariaceae.
GAAGAAGAAGAAGAAAAAAAAAUCAUUAAAAAUAUUCACAACUUUUUAAAACAGACACAAAAUGUAUAACUUCUCAUUUGAGUAUCUUUAUCUAUUCAUAACUUAUAAAUCUUGAGAAAAUAACAAUUUCAGAUGCACAAUAUAAACUAAAGUUCUACAGAUCAUCUAUCUAUUUAACAUGUAGUUUUCCCCACGCAGAAGAUAAUCAGAAUCCAUGUUCCUCACCAAAAUAAUAAAAUUAAAUCCUACAGUAUGAAAACCACAGUAAUCAAAUGAAAACCACAAUUAUGUUAACGUUUUGAACUAUGCAUGUGCUCACUACACGUUGCUGGUGCGGAAACAGAUGUCUUUUUGAAUGCCGAAUAAGAACUUAGAAGCUACAGACGAGUAGACUAAAGGAACAAGGAAUUCAUCCUCUACGUCGCUGUUCGUUAUUCGCAUCGAAGCAUGUCAACGAGUCGCAGUGAUGAGAGUGGAGGAAACCGGAAUCCUCUAGAUGCUAGAAUUUUUGUUUGUGCCGGUUCCUUCAGUUGAAUUGCGGUUACCGAUCACGGUUGCCGUAGUUGCUGCAAUGAUCGAGGUACGUGUCACUGUCUUAGCUGCACAGUGUGAUGCGUCGGAGACAGGAAAGGUAUCUGCGAAAUUCCUUUUCUCGUCCAUAUGCUAGCCGCUAUUGGAGUCUUGUUUAGACGCGACCAGGCAUGCAACUGUAACCUGUCGCCAUUCGCACUGGUAGAAGGCGAGGGCGAGAAAAGCAUCUUGAUGAAACCAUCGCUAAUACUGUCACAGGUAGCACAGAUCUUGCAAACCCUAACUCGAUGGACAAGUUAACAGCAAUUCAACAAUUGCAAUCAUGCAAGUGCGAGGGUUUCCUCACGCGGGUGUCGUUACGGCACUUUAGAACUCAAUCACAAGAAUAGGCUGGCUACGUGUGACGCAAGCAUGAGAGGAACAAAGUUGGAUCAAUGUGUGGUGAGCAGUGCUCCCCACGUCCAUGACGCAGCCACCGGCAAAAAAAUAUUUACCACAGUUUCCAUUACCUGGCGGUACGACUCAGGGCUCCCACACUCUGUAUCGAACGUCGAAAGCAGAUUUUGAGAUCGGCUCAAAGAUUUGGCAGCAAUCGAUCACGCCGAUGACGCUGACCACUUCACCAUCAGACGUGCAACUGCAACCUCUCUCACGCUCUCUAUUUCUCAUCACUGAUCGACGUGCCCACGGACUGUCAAAUCCCCGAACUCCGCCAGAGGUCGAUGCUCAAGCCGUAUCGACCAUCGACGGAAACUGACAAUCGCGGUGUAAGUGAUCUGAACUCCGACAUCGCUGCACAGUCAAGAGUGUUGUGUCGGAAUUAGGGUUAGGGUUUCCUACCAGGGUCCUCUCCGGUCCCAUGGCCGAAACCCUCACACGAUUAGGGUAUCAUAUUUGGGCAUGUCCUCAGAAAUCUGGUUACCCUAAAUCAAUGUGUCACUUCACACUUCAAACAACAUUCUUUUGGCAACUUUGUUAUUUUG